This is a long non-coding RNA of Hipposideros armiger (great roundleaf bat), 230 nucleotides long. RefSeq lists it as uncharacterized. The record is from RefSeq and is a predicted model, not a curated record. NCBI's taxonomy places the organism in Eukaryota, Metazoa, Chordata, Mammalia, Chiroptera, Hipposideridae. The transcript has 2 exons.
UGACUUCCGGUUCCUAGGGGUGCGCAUCCGGGUCACUCUAACGCCGCGGUUUCCUCCACCCGCUUGGUUCUACUGUCGGUCUGGACCGGUCCCCAUGUCCUGCUGUGGACCCUCUGCAGCCUUUGGACUGUGAAGACUGCUGAGAGACACUCGCGAUUCAGACACAUAAGCCUGAUAAAGAAAUAAUUAGUCCUCAUGGAAGAAGAACAAGAUUUACCAGAGCAACCAGU